GAUGAAGAACGUAGCGAAAUGCGAUAAGUAAUGUGAAUUGCAGAAUUCAGUGAAUCAUCGAAUCUUUGAACGCACAUUGCGCCCGCCAGUAUUCUGGCGGGCAUGCCUGUUCGAGCGUCAUUUCAACCAUCAAGCCCUGUGCUUGUGUUGGGGGCCUGCGGCUGCCGCAGCCCCCUAAAAGCAGUGGCGGGCUCGCUGUCAUUCCGAGCGCAGUAACUUAUCUCGCUUUGGUCGUGGCGGUGGGCACCUGCCGUAAAACACUCUUUUUCACAAGGUUGACCUCGGAUCAGGUAGGAAUACCCGCUGAACUUAAGCAUAUCAUAAGCGGAGGA
RNAcentral lists this unclassified non-coding RNA (332 nucleotides) under soil metagenome. Its description in RNAcentral is "partial contains 5.8S ribosomal RNA, internal transcribed spacer 2, and large subunit ribosomal RNA". The stretch from base 1 to 120 matches the Rfam family "5.8S ribosomal RNA", at positions 35 to 154 of the family's 154-position model. The record is from RNAcentral.